UUUUUUUUUUUUUUUUUUUUUUUUUUUUUUUUUUAUAUUUUUGGUUUUAAGAAGAA
This 56-nucleotide non-coding RNA is filed under the name Favella ehrenbergii. Lineage: Eukaryota; Ciliophora; Spirotrichea; Tintinnida; Xystonellidae. The record is from RNAcentral.